GACGAACGCUGGCGGCGUGCUUAACACAUGCAAGUCGAGCGGUAAGGCUCCUUCGGGAGUACACGAGCGGCGAACGGGUGAGUAACACGUGCGUAAUCUGCCCUUCACUUCGGUAUAACCACCGUAAACGGUGGCUAAUACCGAAUACAACCAGUCUUCGCAUGAGGUGCUGGUGGAAAGUCUUUUCGGCGGAGGUGGUUCUCGUCGCCUAUCAGCUUGUUGGUGGUGUAAUGGCCUACCACGGGUUCGACGGGUAGUCGGCCUGAGGGGGUGAGCGGCCAGACUGGGACCAAGACACCGGCGAGACGCCUAAGAGGGGCAGCAGUGGGGAAUGUUGGAAAAUGGGCGCAAGCCUGAUGCGGCAGCGCCGCGUGAGGGCUGACGGCAAUGGGGUUGUAAACGUCUUUAAGUGCCGACGAAGCGCACUGUGGGGUGGUGACGGUAGGUACAGAAGAAGGACCGGCUAACUACGUG
This 474-nucleotide ribosomal RNA is filed under the name uncultured bacterium. Its description in RNAcentral is "partial 16S ribosomal RNA". It matches the Rfam family "Bacterial small subunit ribosomal RNA", at positions 28 to 507 of the family's 1533-position model. The record is from RNAcentral.